RNAcentral lists this ribosomal RNA (604 nucleotides) under Yersinia kristensenii. RNAcentral's name for it is "bacterial SSU rRNA". It matches the Rfam family "Bacterial small subunit ribosomal RNA", at positions 514 to 1117 of the family's 1533-position model. The record is from RNAcentral. Lineage: Bacteria; Pseudomonadati; Pseudomonadota; Gammaproteobacteria; Enterobacterales; Yersiniaceae.
GCCGCGGUAAUACGGAGGGUGCAAGCGUUAAUCGGAAUUACUGGGCGUAAAGCGCACGCAGGCGGUUUGUUAAGUCAGAUGUGAAAUCCCCGCGCUUAACGUGGGAACUGCAUUUGAAACUGGCAAGCUAGAGUCUUGUAGAGGGGGGUAGAAUUCCAGGUGUAGCGGUGAAAUGCGUAGAGAUCUGGAGGAAUACCGGUGGCGAAGGCGGCCCCCUGGACAAAGACUGACGCUCAGGUGCGAAAGCGUGGGGAGCAAACAGGAUUAGAUACCCUGGUAGUCCACGCUGUAAACGAUGUCGACUUGGAGGUUGUGCCCUUGAGGCGUGGCUUCCGGAGCUAACGCGUUAAGUCGACCGCCUGGGGAGUACGGCCGCAAGGUUAAAACUCAAAUGAAUUGACGGGGGCCCGCACAAGCGGUGGAGCAUGUGGUUUAAUUCGAUGCAACGCGAAGAACCUUACCUACUCUUGACAUCCACAGAACUUAGCAGAGAUGCUUCGGUGCCUUCGGGAACUGUGAGACAGGUGCUGCAUGGCUGUCGUCAGCUCGUGUUGUGAAAUGUUGGGUUAAGUCCCGCAACGAGCGCAACCCUUAUCCUUUGUUG